Leopardus geoffroyi (Geoffroy's cat) is the source of this 1334-nucleotide long non-coding RNA. RefSeq lists it as uncharacterized. NCBI's taxonomy places the organism in Eukaryota, Metazoa, Chordata, Mammalia, Carnivora, Felidae. The record is from RefSeq and is a predicted model, not a curated record. The transcript is spliced from 2 exons.
UUUUUUUAAUGUUUAUUUUUGAGAGAGAGAGAGUUCCUGCACACAAAUGGGGAAGGGGCAGAGAGAGAGAGAGGGAGACAGAAUCUGAUGCAGGCGCCAGGCUCCCUGUCACCUUGGCUGGAACUCACGAAUCUUGAGAUCAUGACCUGAACCAAAGUCGACCGCUUAACUGACUGAGCUACCCGGGAGCCCCUGUUUCCAUGUUUAAACUUUUUUUUUUUUUUUUUUUAACAUUUCAAUUUAUAACUGGAAUGAAGAAGUUAGAUUUCUGUGUUCAAGUUAUAUUCAUCUGUAGAAAACCAUCAUUAUCUUUUUCAUGAGAAUGUUCUUUGAUUUCUGUGAUGGUUACUUUCUCAUGGUUCUAAUUCAGAACCUCUGAUGAUAUUUAUUAAAAAUCGCAAUUGUGACAUUUUUGGCCAGAGUGUAUCAGAGAUGAUCUUCAAAUUGCAUAACAUCAGGAGAGACAUAGGAUAUGACGACUGGUCCAUCAUUAGUGAUUGCAUUUUCCCCAAAAUGUAAUCUGUAUGGAUUUACUUUGGUACCAUACUAAUGUUCAUUUCCCAUCAAUUUAGUAGAUAGGUUUUACUCUGAUAAAUAAUCCUUGGUUAAAUCAGUUUCUUCACGGGUUGAAAAGUGAUGAUUUUCUAGUUUUUUAAAAUUUCUUUUCCAUUUAUUUGCUGACCUCAAAUUGUUUCAAAUUUUUCUGACCUUUAAGCAUCAUUACAAAGUGUUCUAGUAACUGCAACGAAUUUUCUUUCUGAUACUCCUGUUACCACAGUUUUAGCUGAUGGGCAGUCCUCCAAGCUCCUGCUGGUUCAUUUUGACUUUUGCUGUUUAACUUUGAAACUUUUAUGCACUCCAAGCCCACUUUGUACCUUCCCUGUUACAUUUGGAAUUGGCCAUUUCUCACAAGGAGCUCUGGUUCCCUUUAUUAGAGGAUGGUAUUGGAGAUGUUCUCAUUUCUGCAGGGGUAAUGUUCCAAGGCAUUUCAGUGAUAGAGCUAGAAAAUCCAUUUUUAAAAAUACAGGUUUGUAUAAGUUUCUAAUUCAAGUUAAAUUGUAUGAUAUUUUUACCUAAUAAUUAGCUCCUAAUUGUAUUGUAUAAUAAAAAUUUUGAAACAUGUUAACAUAAUUUCUUAUUUUCUUUGUUUUAUCUUGCAGUAUAAGAAACAUGGUUUCAAAAUAACAUUACUGGUAGUAGUAGUAACCAUGAACAACAUACUUCAUCACAUGAAAAAUUUCUUUGUAGCUAUUUUUGUCCCUAGACUGUAUUCCACUAAAGAUGUAUGGUUACUUUUUUGUUCUAAAGCUUUUUGAAAUAAAUUCUUUCUUUGA